Molecule: small nuclear RNA, 126 nt
Organism: Dromiciops gliroides (monito del monte)
Lineage: Eukaryota; Metazoa; Chordata; Mammalia; Microbiotheria; Microbiotheriidae
Source: RefSeq, a predicted model, not a curated record
GUGCUAUAUGAAAAGAGAGAAGGUUAGCACUCCUUUUGAAAAUGAUAGAAGAGGUCCUAGUGGCAUUUACAAUGUAUAUACAGUUAAGGUAUUGCCACCUACUCUUUGACAUCUAACCAUGUUUGU